AUUGAACGCUGGCGGCAGGCUUAACACAUGCAAGUCGAGCGGGGUGAUGGUGCUUGCACUAUCACUUAGCGGCGGACGGGUGAGUAAUGCUUGGGAAUCUGCCUAUUUGUGGGGGACAACAUCUCGAAAGGGAUGCUAAUACCGCAUACGUCCUACGGGAGAAAGCAAGGGAUCACUUGUGACCUUGCGCUAAUAGAUGAGCCUAAGUCGGAUUAGCUAGUUGGUGGGGUAAAGGCCUACCAAGGCGACGAUCUGUAGCGGGUCUGAGAGGAUGAUCCGCCACCCUGGGACUGAGACACGGCCCAGACUCCUACGGGAGGCAGCAGUGGGGAAUAUUGGACAAUGGGGGGAACCCUGAUCCAGCCAUGCCGCGUGUGUGAAGAAGGCCUUAUGGUUGUAAAGCACUUUAAGCGAGGAGGAGGCUCUUUUGGUUAAUACCCAGAAUGAGUGGACGUUACUCGCAGAAUAAGCACCGGCUAACUCUGUGCCAGCAGCCGCCGUAA
This 503-nucleotide ribosomal RNA is filed under the name uncultured bacterium. RNAcentral describes it as "partial 16S ribosomal RNA". It matches the Rfam family "Bacterial small subunit ribosomal RNA", at positions 30 to 523 of the family's 1533-position model. The record is from RNAcentral.